GACGAACGCUGGCGGCGUGCUUAACACAUGCAAGUCGAACGAAGUGGCGAACGGGUGAGUAAUACGUGAGUAACCUGCCCUCCUUUUUGGGAUAAGCCUUGGAAACGGGGUCUAAUACCGCAUAAAGGGGGAUGGGCGCGCGGCCUAUCAGCUUGUUGGUGGGGUGAUGGCCUACGAAGGCGGUGACGGGGCGCCGGCCUGAGAGGGUGGACGGCCACAUUGGGACUGAGGCACGGCCCAGACUCCUACGGGAGGCAGGAGUGGGGAAUAUUGCACAAUGGGCGGAAGCCUGAUGCAGCGACGCCGCGUGGGGGAUGACGGCCUUCGGGUUGUAAACUCCUUUCACCAUCGACGCGGUAGAUGGAGAAGAAGCACCGGCUAACUACGUGCCAGCAGCCGCGGUAAUAC
This 408-nucleotide ribosomal RNA is filed under the name uncultured bacterium. RNAcentral's name for it is "partial 16S ribosomal RNA". It matches the Rfam family "Bacterial small subunit ribosomal RNA", at positions 28 to 526 of the family's 1533-position model. The record is from RNAcentral.